CUACUUCACCGUCCCGCACUGGCGAGCGAAUUUUGAUCGCAUAUCUCCCCACGAUUCGCACGCCAGGCGGGGGGGGGGGGGG
Molecule: microRNA precursor, 82 nt
Filed under: Petromyzon marinus (sea lamprey)
Lineage: Eukaryota; Metazoa; Chordata; Hyperoartia; Petromyzontiformes; Petromyzontidae
Description: microRNA pma-mir-4569 precursor
Source: miRBase by way of RNAcentral